Molecule: ribosomal RNA, 840 nt
Filed under: Cellulomonas sp. 070605-23_L12_19
Lineage: Bacteria; Bacillati; Actinomycetota; Actinomycetes; Micrococcales; Cellulomonadaceae
Description: bacterial SSU rRNA
Rfam family: Bacterial small subunit ribosomal RNA
Source: RNAcentral
CGACGGUGCUUAACAUGCAGUCGAACGGUGAUGCCCAGCUUGCUGGGCGGAUCAGUGGCGAACGGGUGAGUAACACGUGAGUAACCUGCCCCAGACUCCGGGAUAAGCCUUGGAAACGAGGUCUAAUACUGGAUAUGAGAUGCCCCUGCAUGGGGAGUGUCUGGAAAGAUUUAUCGGUCUGGGAUGGACUCGCGGCCUAUCAGCUUGUUGGUGGGGUAAUGGCCUACCAAGGCGACGACGGGUAGCCGGCCUGAGAGGGCGACCGGCCACACUGGGACUGAGACACGGCCCAGACUCCUACGGGAGGCAGCAGUGGGGAAUAUUGCACAAUGGGCGAAAGCCUGAUGCAGCGACGCCGCGUGAGGGAUGAAGGCCUUCGGGUUGUAAACCUCUUUCAGCAGGGAAGAAGCGCAAGUGACGGUACCUGCAGAAGAAGCGCCGGCUAACUACGUGCCAGCAGCCGCGGUAAUACGUAGGGCGCAAGCGUUGUCCGGAAUUAUUGGGCGUAAAGAGCUCGUAGGCGGUUUGUCGCGUCUGGUGUGAAAACUCAAGGCUCAACCUUGAGCUUGCAUCGGGUACGGGCAGACUAGAGUGCGGUAGGGGUGACUGGAAUUCCUGGUGUAGCGGUGGAAUGCGCAGAUAUCAGGAGGAACACCGAUGGCGAAGGCAGGUCACUGGGCCGCAACUGACGCUGAGGAGCGAAAGCAUGGGGAGCGAACAGGAUUAGAUACCCUGGUAGUCCAUGCCGUAAACGUUGGGCACUAGGUGUGGGGCUCAUUCCACGAGUUCCGUGCCGCAGCAAACGCAUUAAGUGCCCCGCCUGGGGAGUACGGCCGCAAG